CCUACGGGAGGCAGCAGUGGGGAAUAUUGCACAAUGGGGGAACACCUGAUGCAGCAACGCCGCGUUAAGGAAGACGGUUUUCGGAUUGUAAACUUCUGUUCUUAGUGAAGAAUAAUGACGGUAGCUAAGGAGCAAGCCACGGCUAACUACGUGCCAGCAGCCGCGGUAAUACGUAGGUGGCAAGCGUUGUCCGGAUUUACGGGGUGUAACGGGCGUGCAGCCGGGAAGACAAUUCAGAUUUUAAAGCCCGCGGCUCAACCGCGGAACUGCAUUUGAAACUGUUUUUCUUGAGUACCGGAGAGGUCAUCGGAAUUCCUUGUGUAGCGGUGAAAUGCGUAGAUAUCAGGAAGAACACCAGUGGCGAAGGCGGAUGACUGGACGGCAACUGCCGGUGAGGCGCGAAAGCGUGGGUAGCAAACAGGAUUAGAUACCCGGGUAGUC
Molecule: ribosomal RNA, 441 nt
Filed under: uncultured bacterium
Lineage: Bacteria
Description: partial 16S ribosomal RNA
Rfam family: Bacterial small subunit ribosomal RNA
Source: RNAcentral